This 234-nucleotide unclassified non-coding RNA is filed under the name plant metagenome. RNAcentral's name for it is "partial contains small subunit ribosomal RNA, internal transcribed spacer 1, and 5.8S ribosomal RNA". The record is from RNAcentral.
UUUCCGUAGGUGAACCUGCGGAAGGAUCAUUAAGGUUAUAGUCCCCCGGCCCUCUGGGCUGGGGUCUUCUAUACCACCCUUGGUUUAUUACACCUUUGUUGCUUUGGCAGGCCUGUCCUCGGGCUGCUGGCUCCGGCCGGCUCGGGUCUGCCAGAGGACCUAAACUCUGUUUGUAUAAGAGGUCUGAGUACUAUAUAAUAGUUAAAACUUUCAACAACGGAUCUCUUGGUUCUG